Molecule: transfer RNA, 71 nt
Filed under: Apaloderma vittatum (bar-tailed trogon)
Lineage: Eukaryota; Metazoa; Chordata; Aves; Trogoniformes; Trogonidae
Rfam family: tRNA
About the family: Transfer RNA (tRNA) molecules are approximately 80 nucleotides in length. Their secondary structure includes four short double-helical elements and three loops (D, anti-codon, and T loops). Further hydrogen bonds mediate the characteristic L-shaped molecular structure. tRNAs have two regions of fundamental functional importance: the anti-codon, which is responsible for specific mRNA codon recognition, and the 3' end, to which the tRNAs corresponding amino acid is attached (by aminoacyl-tRNA synthetases). tRNAs cope with the degeneracy of the genetic code in two manners: having more than one tRNA (with a specific anti-codon) for a particular amino acid; and 'wobble' base-pairing, i.e. permitting non-standard base-pairing at the 3rd anti-codon position.
Source: Rfam by way of RNAcentral
GGCCGGUUAGCUCAGUCGGUUGAGCGUGGCGCUAACAACACCAAGGUCAGGGUUCAAUUCCCGUUCGGUCC